AUUUGAUGAUGAUAGGCUAUCUAUUAACAUAUAUGAUUUCUCAAUAAUUUUGCUGAUGUGGCACAACCACAUUACUUUAGAAGUUCUUUUUUUAAAAAAAAACUCAGCCCAUAUUCUCUUGUCUUAACUCCCACCCCUUCAUCUUCUCCUUGCAACGUAUAUCUUACCUUCCUCCUCUUUUAAGCAUAAACUUUCACUCCUUAACAUAUAUAAUUUCUCAAUAAUCUUGCUGAUGUGGUACAACCACAUUACUUUAGAAGUUUUUUUUUUUAACUCAGCCCAUGUUCUCUUGUCUUAACUCCCACCCCUUCAUCUUCUCCUUGCAACGUAUGUCUUACCUUCCUCCUCUUUUAAGCAUAAACUUCCACCCCUCCAUCUUCUUCUUGCAAUAAAUUGCAACGUAUACCUUACCUUCCUCCUCUCUUAAGUAUAAACUUCCACCCCUCCAUCUUCUUCUUACAAUAAAUCUAUUAAUUUCACAAACUUCUAUUAAUUAAUUAACAUAUAUGAUUUCUUCCCCUUGGCUUAACUCCCAUCCCUCCAUCUUCUCCUUGCAACGUAUACCUUACCUUCCCUCUCUCUUAAGCAUAAACUUCCAUCCCUCCAUCUUCUUCUUGCACCAAAUCUAUUAAUUUUACAAACUUAUUACUUUAUCAAGUUAGAGCAUAUCAACAUAACCAGAGUUAGCAACUUCCUAAUAAAAUAUUUUUA
RNAcentral lists this long non-coding RNA (711 nucleotides) under Ananas comosus (pineapple). RNAcentral describes it as "long non-coding RNA (ACOM_LNC015578)". Lineage: Eukaryota; Viridiplantae; Streptophyta; Magnoliopsida; Poales; Bromeliaceae. The record is from RNAcentral.